This is a long non-coding RNA of Macaca mulatta (Rhesus monkey), 1340 nucleotides long. RefSeq lists it as uncharacterized. Lineage: Eukaryota; Metazoa; Chordata; Mammalia; Primates; Cercopithecidae. The record is from RefSeq and is a predicted model, not a curated record.
AGGAGAAUUGCUUGAACCUAGGAGGCAGAGGCUGCAGUGACCCGAGAUCGCGCCACUGCACUCCAGCCUGGGUGACAGAGCGAGACUCCGUCUCAAAAAAAGAAAAAAAUAUUUUAAAAAAAGGAUGUGAGUAACAUGCCUUAGAGGUUGGGAGGCAGGAAAGGCUGUUUCCUACUGGGGAAAUCAGAAAAGGUUUCAAGGAGGAGGUAACACCUGAUCUGGGCUUUAAAAGCUUACAGAAUGCGGACCCAGAAUGAUUGGAGAGCAAGAAGAGAGCAAUCCAGGUAGAAGCAGCACAGAGCAAAGACGGUGGCUGAGGACCACUGGGAAUUUAUUGGGAACGUUCAGUAGUGACUGAGUGGUUAAAUGGUUCCAGAGAUUACAGGGCCAAUGCCUUGGAACACAUGAGUUUUUUCCAGAAUUACGUUAUCCAUGCACGCACACCAUUCGUCUGUGUAGAGCACACUGAGGAGUACUUACUUAAUUUAAGUACUGUAUUUUGACCAAGGAAAGGGGGCCGAGUAAUGGUGGUGACAGACGGAGUUGCACCAAGGAAAGAUGGGUUGGGGCAGGGAGGAAGGAGGUAGAGGAUCCUGGUUAGGUCCAAGCUAGGGAGACAGAUGUCCUUUCUCCCUCCUCCCUCUGCCAUCAGGGCAGAAAGGAGAGCAGGUGAAGUGAGCGCAGGCAGGGUUGUUAAUGAAAGUGUGUCCCUGGGAGGCCUCUCACCUUGCAGUUGACCAGAAGAGCUGGAAUCUCUGUCCUGCUGGUCCUCCUCCUGCUCUCCUGGCCAUGAAUCAGGGCCUGCACCCGGGGAGACUCCCCCUGAAGCCAAUUCGGGUUUCCCUCUACCAGGCGUCUUUGGAUCACACUGUGCGGCUGCUGGCUCCAUCACGAAACAAUGAAGAUGGGAUCUUGCUAAGCUGCCCAGACUGGACUCUAAUUCCUUGGCUCAAGGCAUUUUCUAGCCUCAGACUCCCAAGCAGCCGGGACCAGAAGCGUACACCACAGCACCUGGCCUCCAUCCUUCCUUUCUGUUACCGCAUGUGUUCCACACUCCACGCAGCUCUCUUGGAUCCCUCAAACACCUUCUUAAGUUCAUAACCUGUCUCCAGACCUGUUACCUUUCAAAUACAUCUGCUUGGAGCUUCAGACUGGAAGCUAAAAACCUUGCUACUCCAAAACGUGGUCCUCAGAUCAGCAACUUUAACAUCAUUUCGAAGCCUCUUAAAAAUGCAGACUCUCAUACCUACUGAAUCAGAUGUUUCAUUGUGACAAGAUCCCCAGGUGAUUUGUGUGCAGGUUAAAGUUUGAGAAGCACCAAAGUAAAACAUGAAACUAAC